This is a long non-coding RNA of Helianthus annuus (common sunflower), 691 nucleotides long. RefSeq lists it as uncharacterized. The record is from RefSeq and is a predicted model, not a curated record. The transcript has 4 exons. NCBI's taxonomy places the organism in Eukaryota, Viridiplantae, Streptophyta, Magnoliopsida, Asterales, Asteraceae.
CGGUGGCUUUUGCCACCAACAAUUCCUCCGUUUUUGUCUUAUAUACUGCCAUCCAUUCGUAACCCUAAUCAAAUCGUUUCAUCGGUUCAUCCAAUUUUUCUCCACAUCACCACAUGAACGAUGAACGCUGAACAGGUCCACCACUGCCACGAACCGCCCGCACCCUUUACAGCUUCACCACCACAAUGGUCGAGGAUGGUCUUCUGUAGUGGUGAGAAAUCGGCGACUACAUCAACCUGAAAGGCGUCGGCAACUUCCACCAGCAAAUCCAACCGAUCACAUAAGAUGGGGGUUUUGUUUGUAUAUUUUAGUUAAAAUCGAAUUAGGGUUUUGUUCGUAUCAAAAUGAUGACUUUCGUAAGCAGAAGAGGGGGUGAUUCUCCAAAUUGCGUGUUUUUUCUCCCUUCCUUGACUUGAUUCGAAGUCAAAGAGAGGCUUUUGAAGAUUCAAUUGGAAGAUACCAGGUUUUUUUAUAGUUGUCCUUGCACAUGUAAUCUUUUCUCCACAUGUGAUAUAUACGCUAAACUACAACUUUGUGCUACCGUACCAAGGGGGUAUUAUAGUACCGUUUGUUGCUACCGACCAGAUCAUUGUCAGAAUCCUCAGUCGAUAAGAUCCGCAAAUAGACUGUUGAAAGGUAAUAACUAACGCAUUUGACUUUUCUUUGUGUUUAGUGUCCACCUUUCUAUAAU